RNAcentral lists this ribosomal RNA (424 nucleotides) under uncultured archaeon. RNAcentral's name for it is "bacterial SSU rRNA". It matches the Rfam family "Archaeal small subunit ribosomal RNA", at positions 355 to 747 of the family's 1478-position model. The record is from RNAcentral.
AUGCGCGAAAGCGUGACGAGGUUAAUCCGAGUGGCUUCCGCUGAGGAAGUCUUUUGCCGACUUUAAAAAGGUCGGAGAAUAAGGGGAGGGCAAGUCUGGUGUCAGCCGCCGCGGUAAUACCAGCUCCUCGAGUGGUCGGGGCGAUUAUUGGGCCUAAAGCAUCCGUAGCCGGUUCCGUAGGUCUCCUGCAAAAUCCAGUCGCUCAACGAUUGGCCCGCAGGAGAUACCGCGGGACUAGGAGGCGGGAGAGGUGGACGGUACUCCACGUGUAGGGGUAAAAUCCUUUGAUCCGUGGAAGACCACCAGAUUGCUUGCGGUUAAUGACCACAGGCACGGUGAAUGGCGAAGGCGGUCCACCAGAACGCGCUCGACGGUGAGGGAUGAAAGCUGGGGGAGCGAACCGGAUUAGAUACCCGGGUAGUCC